Molecule: non-coding RNA, 142 nt
Filed under: Streptococcus suis
Lineage: Bacteria; Bacillati; Bacillota; Bacilli; Lactobacillales; Streptococcaceae
Description: THF riboswitch
Rfam family: THF (Tetrahydrofolate) riboswitch aptamer
About the family: THF riboswitch presents a pseudoknot that joins P1-P2 and the loop of P3 and two THF binding.
Source: RNAcentral
CAGAGUAGAUGGUUUGCGUCAAGUGUAUGUGGAUGGGAUGUUGCCACAUAACGAAGCUGAUCUUUGCUUGUAUCUGAUGUCUUCUAUAGUAGGAACAUUGGGGCCUGGCUGAGACUAGCGCGGUAAACCAUUGCAUCCGCUG